RNAcentral lists this long non-coding RNA (545 nucleotides) under Amborella trichopoda. RNAcentral's name for it is "long non-coding RNA (ATRI_LNC002577)". The record is from RNAcentral. Lineage: Eukaryota; Viridiplantae; Streptophyta; Magnoliopsida; Amborellales; Amborellaceae.
AAGUGAUGGAGGGCUUCAGAGAUGAGAGAGGAAAGAGAUUUUAAAAGAGAGAAAGCCUUCUUUGCGUAGUAACGAAGCAGAGGCCUCAUUUUAUUGUGGCAUUUGGGUGCGGGCUUGGACGUAACGCCAUGGACUGACUAAUCAUGGCACGAUGUUUUCAAUUUUCUACCGUCCAAACACAAGGAGACAUUCAGAGCAAAUUCCUUUCGAUAUCACUUAAAUGCAUUUUAGGGAUUGGGUCCUGGCAUCUGGAUAUUAACGCCAUGGCUGGUUGCUCCUAUACGAAGCUAGAGAGAAAGAGAGAUCCUUGAUGGAUGGAUGGAUGAGAGAGAAAGAGAGAGAGAGGGGUAUUUGGUGAAGAUGUGUGCUGCUGUUCCUUUUUAUUAGCGCGGAAACUUUCCAAGGCCGUGACAUAAAUGUUGGAAAUAUAGUUGGCAUGCAUUAUUUCUUCUCGUUUACAGUCCUUCCAUUGAUAAGUUUGGAAUUUGUGCAUCAAAACGUGGAUUAGUGAUUCAUCUCUCGACUCUGAGGAUAAUUAGUGACUG